UAUACAUCUCGAGUGCUUGUUUUCGGCGAUCAACACACACUAAAAUCCACGUCGAUGCCUCUUCAAGGUAAGAUGGAGUUGAUUUUGCUAAUCUGUUGGAUUCUAUCUCGUUAUUUCGAAACAAUUAAUCUCAGAAUCCAUGGAUUUGCUUAGAUCGAUCUGUUUUUCUAUUUUGGAAAAUCCAUUUUUGCAUCUGUUUUACCCUCUCUUUGGGAAUAAAAUCGAGAUUAUUCAAGGAGAUAUAACUGAUGCAUAUAGCUAAUUACAGGAUGGCUUACCAACGCAUUGCAUUUCAUUGGAUUGCUUUAGUGUCAAAUGGUCCUUCCUAUAUUCUUUCUCAUUUCAUAAAACGAACUUUUCGUUGUUCUUGACAUUUUUUUAUAUUGGAUUUGGAAACUUUGGAUAUUAUUUUGAAUUGGCAAAUGAUGUAAUUUCAGUUUUAUGCUUAACACACUGAUUAAACCAUGGUGACUAAAAACUCCGCUUAUUAUCUGAUGCCAAAUUCUUUCUUAAAUGCAUUUGUAAAGCAAAUAUUUUUCUAUGUUUGUUUCAUAUUUUUAGUUGUUAUUGUUGGAUAUUGAAAGCAAAUGAUGCGACACAUCAAUCUUAUACUACACACUGAACAUUUUCAUGUAGAAAAACAACUCUCAAUUAUCUUGUGAUGCUUUUCGUAUUCACAAAAUCAAACGAUUUGUGUCUGAAAAGUAAUUAAAUUCUUUUUAAGUUUUUCUUUGAAUUUGCAUUGAUUGUAUAAUUUCAAUGACGAGAUUCAGCAGACGGGCGGUCUGAAAUGAUGCCAUGUUGAUUGUUCUGCGUAAUAUCUCUGAGAUUUUUAAUCAAAUUUAAGUCAUGUUACACUUUACUAUUAUGGUGUUUGAUUGUUCUUCUGUUACUUUUUAACAAUUUUGUAAAUUUUCUUGUGUUGCUGUGAUGAAUAUGCAAAUUUUAUAUGUCUGGACUUAUGAGACAUUGUCUGUGAAAUGAUGCGCAUACUUCUGAGCUUCAAAUGAUCCAUUUAAUAACAAAAAUGGAAUCUUAUAAAUGAGAAAUUAAUCUAGAGUUGGAUUUUUUAAUGAAGGGCUGCUGUGAUUAUAAAUAAAAAGAUUUAAUAUCUGAACGCUAUUUCGAUGGCAUGAUAGACUCUUUUACACCCAUAGAAUAUGAGCACCCAUGUAUCAACAUGUUCAAAUCAUAAACGUUUUAUAUAUAACUUUGGUUGAGACUUAUUGAUGUUGUUGCAGUGAUUAUAAAAAAUUCCUCGUUCUGAAAGCCAUAGCCAUGGCAUGACAGACACUUUACACCCAUAGAAUAUGAGCAACGUUACUUAAAGAAUUUUUAUGUAUAAUAAGUCAAAUCAAUUUGUAUUAUUGUCUUUUUAAAUUUGUUAAAUUUGAUUUUGUAAAGGGAAUUGAUAAUGAUACGAAUGGUCAGUAGUUCUAUAUAGUGGUGUUAAGCUCUAGUUUUCAGUUUUACAAUUGGAGUCCAAUUUUUAAUAAGAUUAGGUGUUUUUAAUCUGAAUUUUUGAUUGAUAAAGUUGCUUUUUCUUCGUAAUAAUGAAACUUCAUAGAGCAAUUGUAGAUGACUAAUCACUUUCAGAUAAGGCAUGCUUCUUUUUUGUUUAUUUAAGGGGUGUUUGACAAAGCUUAAAAAAUGAGUUUUUUUGAUUUAUUAUCAGUUUGAUACCAGUAUAACUCAAAAAAGUGUUUGGGUGAAAAACAAUUUAUAGUUGCCUGGCAAAGCUUAAAAAGAUGAGUUUUUUUUUUUUUUUUUUUUUUUUUUUUUUUUUUUUACUUACCAUUUCAAUCAUACAAUAUAGGUAUAGGUAAACGAUCAAAUGAGAAAAAAAAAAUGAAAACCAAAAAAAUUAAGAACCUAAGAACCACUUAUUUUUAGCUUAUAACCAAGAAUAUAUUUGUUAAUUUUUCAAAUACAAAUUUAUAUAUACAUCAAAAUGAACGGAUUUGUGUAACAAUUACUGAGGAAUAUAUUUGUUAAUUUUCCACCGCUAACAUUUACUUCCUCCAACUCAAGAUCUAUGAUUUAUGUCGGUAAUCGCCGCUACAACACCACUGUCGAAAGACUAGGCUAAAUCAACGAAUUCCGAUGAGUGACGAUGCAGAUCGGCGAGCGAUAAUGUAGAUCUACAAGCAUCAACUGGCAAGUUCAGAUCUAUGAGUUAGGUGAUCGACAAGGAUCCGCAACAAUCGCCUCCUUCCAGAUAUGUUUCAUGUCCGAUCUCUUCCAGCCACUUUGUUCAUCUUCGAUCUCCUCCAUCUCAGAUCACCACCUCCCUGCUACUCUACCACUGGUGCUCUACAUAUCUUAUUGAAAUUGAAGAUUAAUAAACAUCAAUAAUGUUGUAUACAAUCAAAUUCUACAACUGCAAAAAUCCAAAAACUACCUUUGAGUUGCCAUUAUCCAUUGACCUCCGACGCCUUGUUAUUGGAGCAGGUGUUCCUUUCUAUUUUCUUUUCUGGCCACUCACUACUAAUUUUUCGUCUGAGAAGAAGCAACUUCAAGCUUGUUUGCUACAGGAGAGGAAGUGCUUUUGAUAAAAGUACAACGAUCUCGAUUUUAGAGAGACAUUAAAGGUAAUCAUCCACUGUUAACUUUUAUUGUUUUCUAUAAAAUUGUCACUAUGACUACACAUUGUCUGCUAUGCAAGAAUAAGUUUUAUAUAUAUAUAUAUAUAUUUAUAUAUAUAUAUAUAUUUAUAUUUACUGUAGUCUAGUACUCUAGUCCCUGGACUAUUAUCAUAUUAGCCUUAUUUAUGUUUAUAAAAAUAUAAUAUGGGAUUUGACUUCAUAUUACUUUGAGUAAAUUACUGAAAUCUUUUCUGGGUUUGGCGAGAAUUGCACGUUUACUCUCUAAUUUUUUUUUUUGCACUCAGAUCGUCCUUGUGGUUUGAUUUUGUUGCGUUUUUCGUCCCUAUGGUUUGGUAAAAAUUGCAUGUUUGGUCUUUAACUUUAUGUAUGUAAGGGACGAAAAAUGCAACAAAAUCAAACCAUAGGGACGAAAAACGCAACAAAAUCAAACCAUAGGAACGAUCCGAAUGCAAAAGAAAGUUACGGACCAAAUGUACAACUUUGACCAAACCACAAGGGACGAUUUCAAUAAUUUACACUAUUACUUUUCUUCUUUUGUAUUACUUUUAGCUUUUGGUAUGUUUCACAACUUUUUUGUUUCUAAGAAUUUAGCUAAAUCUUAAAAUUUUAAAUUAUUAAUUAUAUAUGUUUUGUGUUUGAUUUUUUUAAUAAUAUAUCAAUCCAUUAUAAUUAAAGCCAUUUUAUUCUAAAAAUCUUGCUACCGUCUUUGAUAUCUAUGAUAAAAAAUAGUUUUGUUUCAAUCGUUUUAUUUUUUGUUAAGGUGUGAAUUUAAU
RNAcentral lists this long non-coding RNA (3379 nucleotides) under Lactuca sativa (garden lettuce). RNAcentral's name for it is "long non-coding RNA (LSAT_LNC004089)". The stretch from base 1232 to 1320 matches the Rfam family "Small nucleolar RNA snoR8a". Lineage: Eukaryota; Viridiplantae; Streptophyta; Magnoliopsida; Asterales; Asteraceae. The record is from RNAcentral.